Molecule: non-coding RNA, 202 nt
Filed under: Paenibacillus sp. CECT 9249
Lineage: Bacteria; Bacillati; Bacillota; Bacilli; Caryophanales; Paenibacillaceae
Source: RNAcentral
UUGAAUACAAUACCGAUGGGUCCUUGCCGUUUCGUACGGAGCGAGAUUGCAAGGUUAAAAGGGAAGCCGGUGCAAAUCCGGCACGGUCCCGCCACUGUAAACCGGGGAUUUUCUCACAACGGCCACUGUCCUUAUUCGGAUGGGAAGGCGAGAAAAUCGUAACCCGCAAGUCAGGAGACCUGCCUAUGGGUGCGACUUACAA